GACGAACGCUGGCGGCGUGCCUAAUACAUGCAAGUAGAACAGUUGCGAACGGGUGAGUAACGCGUAGGUAACUGCCGCAUAGCGGGGGAUAACAAUGGGAAACGAUAGCUAAUACCGAAAACUGUGAGAUGGGACUGCGUUGUAUUAGUUAGGUGACGAGGUAAAGGCCCACCAAGGCGACGAUACCUAGACGACCCGAGAGGGUGAUUGGCCAAACGUGGACUUAGGCACGGCCCAGACUCCUACGGUAGGCAGCGUUAGGGAAUCUGCGGCAAUGGACGGAAGUCUUACCGAGCAACGCCGCGUGAGUGAAGAAGGUUAUCGGAUCUUAAAGCUCUGAUGUUAGAGAAGCGGUAACUAACCAGAAAGGGACGGCUAACUACGUGCCAGCAGCCGCGGUAAUAC
This 405-nucleotide ribosomal RNA is filed under the name uncultured bacterium. RNAcentral's name for it is "partial 16S ribosomal RNA". It matches the Rfam family "Bacterial small subunit ribosomal RNA", at positions 28 to 526 of the family's 1533-position model. The record is from RNAcentral.